This 301-nucleotide ribosomal RNA is filed under the name uncultured bacterium. RNAcentral describes it as "partial 16S ribosomal RNA". It matches the Rfam family "Bacterial small subunit ribosomal RNA", at positions 509 to 807 of the family's 1533-position model. The record is from RNAcentral.
CAGUCGCCGCGGUAAUACGGAGGGAGCUAGCGUUAUUCGGAAUUACUGGGCGUAAAGCGCACGUAGGCGGCUUUGUAAGUUAGAGGUGAAAGCCUGGUGCUCAACACCAGAACUGCCUUUGAUACUGCAUCGCUUGAAUCCAGGAGAGGUGAGUGGAAUUCCGAGUGUAGAGGUGAAAUUCGUAGAUAUUCGGAAGAACACCAGUGGCGAAGGCGGCUCACUGGACUGGUAUUGACGCUGAGGUGCGAAAGCGUGGGGAGCGAACAGGAUUAGAUACCCCGGUAGUCCCUGUCUCUUAUAC